Molecule: small RNA, 144 nt
Filed under: Flavobacterium succinicans
Lineage: Bacteria; Pseudomonadati; Bacteroidota; Flavobacteriia; Flavobacteriales; Flavobacteriaceae
Description: Flavo-1 RNA
Rfam family: Flavo-1 RNA
Source: RNAcentral
CAUUAGCCCAGAAAGGAAUGAAAAUCCUUUGCUGCAAAAGCCUACUUUUUUCUUGUUCCAAAAGAGCGACCAACGGAAGCUCCUUUUGGAGCUUAGAAAAAGAGGUUUUUGCAGUAAAGAUUGUAAUGGAUUGCUGGAAUAGCU